RNAcentral lists this ribosomal RNA (362 nucleotides) under uncultured Acholeplasma sp. RNAcentral's name for it is "bacterial SSU rRNA". It matches the Rfam family "Bacterial small subunit ribosomal RNA", at positions 1017 to 1382 of the family's 1533-position model. Lineage: Bacteria; Bacillati; Mycoplasmatota; Mollicutes; Acholeplasmatales; Acholeplasmataceae. The record is from RNAcentral.
AGGGUAUUCGGGGAGGACAGGUGGUGCAUGGUUGUCGUCAGCUCGUGUCGUGAGAUGUGGGUUAAGUCCCGCAACGAGCGCAACCCUACUUGCUAGUUACCAUCAUUAAGUUGGGGACUCUAGCGAGACUGCCAGUGAUAAACUGGAGGAAGGUGGGGAUGACGUCAAAUCAUCAUGCCCCUUAUGACCUGGGCUACAAACGUGAUACAAUGGCUGGAACAAAGGGAUGCGAAGCAGUGAUGUGGAGCGAAACCCAUAAAAACAGUCUCAGUUCGGAUUGAAGUCUGCAACUCGACUUCAUGAAGUCGGAAUCGCUAGUAAUCGCGGAUCAGAACGCCGCGGUGAAUACGUUCUCGGGGUUU